Anser brachyrhynchus (Pink-footed goose) is the source of this 1635-nucleotide long non-coding RNA. NCBI's taxonomy places the organism in Eukaryota, Metazoa, Chordata, Aves, Anseriformes, Anatidae. The record is from Ensembl.
GAAACCGUUUAUGUUUUUGCAAAGUGAGACCAAAGGUAAAGGUUGUGAUGCACUGGACAUCUUGCACUUGCCUCCUCAAAAGGAGUCUUAUUUGUGUGCAGUGGCGCUUGAGAUACUCCAAUGGGGCAAAGUGAAUCAGGUCAGAAACGUAGAGUUUGGAGUCUGUAUUAUUUGAAGCAGUAAUUGCACUGCAGGUCACUAGCUAAGAAGCUGCUGUUUGUAAGGUAAAUAUUUUGUAUCAAGUCAUUACUCAGUUUGUUAUGAGCUGUGGAUGGAUAAUAAAAAAGACUACAGUAAUAUCUGGAUGAUAGUCUCUACACUGAUCAACUGCAAAUGAUCUGAUUAAGUCAGCUGCUAAUUCCCAGUUUAAUUAAUCCUGAUGGGCUAUUGAUGCGCUACAACUGUUUGUCCUAAUAAUGAGUUUUGAAAUUAGACUGUGACAAGACACUUAGACAGCUGCCAAGGAAAAUAAUCAUUUAAGAACGCGAGCAAUGAAGAUGACAGAGGAGGAAUGGCUGCUAUUUGACAGAAAAUUCACAUGGCUGUGUCACAUGUGUUUUAUUUUUACAUUUGGAGCACAUUAACUGUACCAGCAGUAAGUGGUGACUGCAAGACACAUAACUAGCUUUACAAUUAAGGAUGCUACUUCUCAUCAGUAUGCAAAAGCUAAACAUGAAACAUGAAGUGUGUUAAUAGCAGAAUAUAUGUAGCUACAGAUCAUUGAACAAUUUAGGUCAGUCCUUUGCAAUGUUUAAUUAGACUAAUAUAUCUGUUUGCAAUUAAUAACAGAUGUGACAAGCUAAUGUGUCCAUGUACUGACAAAUUAACCUUUGCCCAUCAGCUGCUCAGAUCUGUGAGAAAAGUGCCAUAUUUUGCCUCUGUUCAAUUGAACCUAAAUAAAAUUGCAGGAUAAUUAUAAACAUAAAUGUUAUUAGAAUGUGCUUUCCAUGGGAAGCAUGAGCCAAACGAGAGCAUUUCUCAGCCAGGUCAUCAUACUGUACUUUGCCACGUGACAAAAACUGCAAAUAAUAUUUUUCAAUUUGUCUUGGUGCAAUUAGUGUUUGGUUUGACAGAUGCUAGUUGGAUAGUUCUUAUCUUCAAUGGACCUGGGACAUACCGGAGCCCCCAUAUUAAGAGCCAGGGAACAUGUGCAGACUCUGGAGCCUGGCUUCAUGCUGUGAUGGCUGGAAACCUGUUGUGUGAUGCAACACUGAGGAGCAAGCAAGCCCGGGGCUCCUACUGUGACCCAAGAGAGAAGGGGCUCCAGACCUGGGCAGGCAUAGUCAUUCUUCAAACUAAGAAUAAAUCAGAAAGGUGUGUAAUCUGAAUCAACCAACACUUGAGAAAAGAAGAUUGUGGCCUAUUUUGACACACAAAUACUCUCAAAGAAGCAAGCAGUCAUAAUUCUACCCUUGAAGACCCUAUUUGAGGACAAUGGGGAUAAGGGUAGAAGAAAGGAAUAAGUCCUACGACAGAAAAUACCACCCAAAAAAGUUAAGGUACAAACCGAAUCCCGCCUCCAUGUCAGCAUGCCUACAAAAGAGGUGUGCCUCUGCCUAAGCACUGGGUGGAGUUCCAAGCUCUUCCGUUUCUUUUAGGAAUAAAUUUUAUCUUUGGUGAUGUGAUGGUGUGAGG